This 253-nucleotide ribosomal RNA is filed under the name uncultured bacterium. RNAcentral describes it as "partial 16S ribosomal RNA". It matches the Rfam family "Bacterial small subunit ribosomal RNA", at positions 524 to 776 of the family's 1533-position model. The record is from RNAcentral.
UACAGAGGUCUCAAGCGUUGUUCGGAUUCAUUGGGCGUAAAGGGUGCGUAGGCGGCGGGGCAAGUCUGAUGUGAAAUCCCGGGGCUCAACCCCGGAACUGCAUUGGAUACUGCCUUGCUAGAGUACUGGAGAGGAGACUGGAAUUUACGGUGUAGCAGUGAAAUGCGUAGAUAUCGUAAGGAAGGCCAGUGGCGAAGGCGAGUCUCUGGACAGUUACUGACGCUGAGGCACGAAAGCGUGGGUAGCAAACAGG